This 22-nucleotide microRNA is filed under the name Bombyx mori (domestic silkworm). RNAcentral's name for it is "bmo-miR-2784". Lineage: Eukaryota; Metazoa; Arthropoda; Insecta; Lepidoptera; Bombycidae. The record is from miRBase by way of RNAcentral.
ACUCGGCGGCGAGUGUGUGUGU